GAUGAACGCUGGCGGCGUGCUUAACACAUGCAAGUCGAACGAAGCACUCUAUUUGAUUUUCUUCGGAAAUGAAGAUUUUGUGACUGAGUGGCGGACGGGUGAGUAACGCGUGGGUAACCUGCCUCAUACAGGGGGAUAACAGUUGGAAACGACUGCUAAUACCGCAUAAGCGCACAGGACCGCAUGGUCCGGUGUGAAAAACUCCGGUGGUAUGGGAUGGACCCGCGUCUGAUUAGCCAGUUGGCAGGGUAACGGCCUACCAAAGCGACGAUCAGUAGCCGACCUGAGAGGUUGAACGGCCACAUUGGGACUGAGACACGGCCCAGACUCCUACGGGAGGCAGCAGUGGGGAAUAUUGCACAAUGGGGGAAACCCUGAUGCAGCGACGCCGCGUGGAGGAAGAAGGUCUUCGGAUUGUAAACUCCUGUUGUUGAGGAAGAUAAUGACGGUACUCAACAAGGAAGUGGACGGCUAACUACGUG
This 482-nucleotide ribosomal RNA is filed under the name uncultured bacterium. Its description in RNAcentral is "bacterial SSU rRNA". It matches the Rfam family "Bacterial small subunit ribosomal RNA", at positions 28 to 507 of the family's 1533-position model. The record is from RNAcentral.